Molecule: ribosomal RNA, 253 nt
Filed under: uncultured bacterium
Lineage: Bacteria
Description: partial 16S ribosomal RNA
Rfam family: Bacterial small subunit ribosomal RNA
Source: RNAcentral
UACGUAGGGGUCGAGCGUUGUCCGGAGUUACUGGGCGUAAAGCGCGCGUAGGCGGAUUGUUAAGUCAGGGGUGAAAUGCCGAGGCUCAACCUCGGAACUGCCUUUGGUACUGGCAAUCUUGAGUCCGGGAGAGGUGAGUGGAACUCCUAGUGUAGAGGUGAAAUUCGUAGAUAUUAGGAAGAACACCAGUGGCGAAGGCGGCUCACUGGCCCGGAACUGACGCUGAUGUGCGAAAGCGUGGGGAGCAAACAGG